UGCGGGUUCGUAGAAUGGCGCUACGCAGGGUUCAUAACCCUGAAAGGACAGGUUCGAUUCCUGCACCCGCUACCA
Molecule: transfer RNA, 75 nt
Filed under: Acidithiobacillus ferridurans
Lineage: Bacteria; Pseudomonadati; Pseudomonadota; Acidithiobacillia; Acidithiobacillales; Acidithiobacillaceae
Also listed under: 1 other name
Description: tRNA-Met
Rfam family: tRNA
About the family: Transfer RNA (tRNA) molecules are approximately 80 nucleotides in length.
Source: RNAcentral